UACGUAGGGCGCAAGCGUUGUCCGGAAUUAUUGGGCGUAAAGAGCUCGUAGGCGGUUUGUCGCGUCUGCCGUGAAAACCCGAGGCUUAACCUCGUGGCUUGCGGUGGAUACGGGCAGACUAGAGGUAGGUAGGGGAGAAUGGAAUUCCCGGUGUAGCGGUGAAAUGCGCAGAUAUCGGGAGGAACACCGGUGGCGAAGGCGGGUCUCUGGGCCGUAACUGACGCUGAGGAGCGAAAGCGUGGGGAGCGAACAGG
Molecule: ribosomal RNA, 254 nt
Filed under: uncultured bacterium
Lineage: Bacteria
Description: partial 16S ribosomal RNA
Rfam family: Bacterial small subunit ribosomal RNA
Source: RNAcentral